CAAAGGGAAGCAGCCCUGUGAAGGUGAGCAAAUCCCAAAAAUAACGUCCCAGUUCGGAUUGUAGUCUGCAACCCGACUACAUGAAGCUGGAAUCGCUAGUAAUCGCGGAUCAGAAUGCCGCGGUGAAUACGUUCCCGGGUCUUGUACACACCGCCCGUCACACCAUGGGAGUCGGAAAUGCCCGAAGCCGGUGACUCAACCUUUAAGGAGAGAGCCGUCGAAGGCAGGUCUGAUAACUGGGGUGAAGUCGUAACAAGGUACC
RNAcentral lists this ribosomal RNA (262 nucleotides) under uncultured bacterium. RNAcentral's name for it is "partial 16S ribosomal RNA". It matches the Rfam family "Bacterial small subunit ribosomal RNA", at positions 1240 to 1500 of the family's 1533-position model. The record is from RNAcentral.